CGGCGACAUAAAACCGAACUAAAGUCACGUUUAAACGCAAAAAAACACGAAUAAGAAAUUUGCAAUCCUGCGGUCCCUUUAUUAAAAUGGUUAUCGGUGCGAGCUAGCUUCCUUCUCCCCAUUCACGGUCCUGUGGAGGCUCUCACGUUUCAGCUUUUCCUAUCUGAGGAGCUAUAUAUACACACACAUUUAUAUUCCUCCAUAGGCUGAACACAAACCAGACGCCACCACCCCAACACAGCUCCUGUCAACGCCUGAAGGGUGAGACAGAUUUAAGACUAAGAAUAGGGCUGAGGAUCCAUUAAUGCCAUUUAAAUCCAAGUAGCCCUUCCAAGAGUACAGUAUGUGUGUCUUUCUAAUGGGCAAACACAGUCAUUUCACAUUUCAUUACACAGGAGGCUGGUGAGCAUGCUUGAACUCCAGGAAGGCUUUUACUUUGAUAGGUUAUUAGCAUGUAUCACUGGAUUAAAGUGGUGUCGAUUUUAGGACGAUGAAUAAUGAUGAUAAAACUGGGGGUCUGCCUACUUCAUCUGCCACCACUGCACCAACACACUCCAUCUGGCUGGCUAGUGAGUAAUAUCCAUGCUAUGCAGCAUUUUCAGCAUCCUCUCUGACAAACACUGUGAGAAUUGACAAUGACAUGAGUUGCAGGAAUGUUAAAAUGUGGGAAAUGACAGGCUGGAUAGCUCAAAACUGACUCCGAGCAGGCACAGAGGUGACAUUGGAAUGACUUUACAAUGCUAAAGUGUGAUCUUUAUCAGCCGCCUCCCUCCAGCUAUAGCCUUAAGUGUGUAUGCGUGCCCUCGGGCAAGAAAGGCUCGCUGCCCGCCGCCCGCCCCUUCUGGGAGAUAUUUACACCACUGUGUCUUGUGUUGUGUACACCAACUACAGCUAAAGGUCUUGAGGGAGGAGAAGGAGAAGUACAAAAUGAUGAAUCCAGGCAAGCGUCACAGGGAAGGUUCCAGAAAACAGUCAUCGCUGGCUGCGGUGCGGCUGUGGAAUAGCCCUGGCCCCUCCACUCCUACACAGGCUUUCCAGGAAUACAUUGCACAGCAGUCAAAUGCUGGACCGCAGUGCACAAACACACACAAAUGGCUACACACAAGCACACACACUCUCUACUGUGGCUCCAGUGACUUGAGUGCAUGUAUGAGAGGAGACGCCAGCUUUAGAAAGACUAUGUUGCUGCAUGUGCCAAGUUCCCCAGCAUAGACAGAGGUGAUACUGACAGAAAACACACACUCACUCACUCUCUCUCUCUUUCACACACACACACACACACACACACACACACACACACACACACACACACACAACACUCCCUGCUGUUAACACACAAAAAAUUUAAUCUUAUGAAACUGCUCACAUGUGUGUAUUACAGAAUUUAAUGUACAUAGGGUUUUGCUGUCAAGAACCAAGCACGUACUGUUUUUCUCUCUCACACAAGUGGGUGCACCCUAAAUAUGUUUCAGCAAACAAACACACACACACACACACACACACACACAGUUAGAAGUAUAUGUGAGCUGGGGCCAGGCCAAGUGGUGCAGCAUGAAAGGGCCUAUAUAUGUGGCCAGGCUGGGUGACGCCAGGAGUUGGCCAGUCUGUCUGUGUGUCUUUCACAUACAGCCUGGCCUAUGGUUAGAGGACACUGCUAUAACUCACCUUUUACACCCUGUCCGUUCCUGUAGGCUUCUGCUACCUGUCUCUGUCUGACUGUAUCACCACAAAGCUAAUACUGGUCCUCCAUUGUAUGUAGGUGCUCAUUUGUCUAGUGUGAAAUAACAGGAGCAAAAUGACAGCGACGUUUACAUUUUCUCAAAUGUCUCCUGAAUGCCCAGCAAAAGCAAAUGUUAUUGUCGGGGUAUUUCUGGGUUCUGCACUCAGUCUGUGUUAUCUUUCUAUAUCUAGACAGAUCUGGUUUCAGUUCAAAUUCCACCUGAUGGAGGAAAUGAAAUGCAACCUUACCCAUGCAAUGAUCACUGCUCAGGCAUUUUGAGAAGGUGAAGCUCAGUGCCAGGUUUGAAAAACCAUUUCAUUUGUAAAAGGCAAAGCGACGCUCUUUUUGUUUUUAUUUCCCUAGUUAUUAUGCUGCCGUGAGAGGUCGCUGAAGACAUGUCCUUUAGAAGUGAAACGAUUCGUCGAUGA
Lates calcarifer (barramundi perch) is the source of this 2148-nucleotide long non-coding RNA. RefSeq lists it as uncharacterized. The transcript has 3 exons. NCBI's taxonomy places the organism in Eukaryota, Metazoa, Chordata, Actinopteri, Centropomidae. The record is from RefSeq and is a predicted model, not a curated record.